CCCUUAGAUGUUCUGGGCCGCACCCGCGCUACACUGAUGCAUUCAACGAGCCUAUCCUUGACCGACAGGUCCGGGUAAUCUUUGAAUCUGCAUCGUGACGGGGAUAGAUUAUUGCAAUUAUUAAUCUUCAACGAGGAAUGCCUAGUAGGCGCAAGUCAUCAGCUUGCGUCGAUUACGUCCCUGCCCUUUGUACACACCGCCCGUCGCUCCUACCGAUUGGGUGUGCUGGUGAAAUGUUCGGAUCGGCCGUUUGUCGCGGUUUCCGCGUCAUGUGGCUGAGAAGUUCAUUAAACCCUCCCACCUAGAGGAAGGAGAAGUCGUAACA
RNAcentral lists this ribosomal RNA (325 nucleotides) under uncultured eukaryote. RNAcentral describes it as "partial 18S ribosomal RNA". It matches the Rfam family "Eukaryotic small subunit ribosomal RNA", at positions 1470 to 1796 of the family's 1831-position model. The record is from RNAcentral.